This 1620-nucleotide long non-coding RNA is filed under the name Gossypium barbadense (sea-island cotton). Its description in RNAcentral is "long non-coding RNA (GBAR_LNC016650)". Lineage: Eukaryota; Viridiplantae; Streptophyta; Magnoliopsida; Malvales; Malvaceae. The record is from RNAcentral.
CAUUCAAGAGCACCACAUCUUUUUGGAUAAAACAAAACUUUCAAUUUUAAGGUAAACGGGUCUUUAGGGUUAUACGGGGGCCUUUUCCACAAUUGCCAUCAUUAUUUGCGGGUGAUUUUGGGAUAAUAACUCGAAUAUUUCUGGAUCACAUUUAAUUCAAUUUUUAAAUUUUAGAGAGAUGUUUGGGUUACAACAAUUUUCAUCAUUAAGUUUAAUAGAACAUUUGGGAGGAAAAAGAGCAAAAAAAUGAGCGAAAACCGAAAAAUGGGGGCAAAGUAUAGGACCCACACUAGCUGACCUAUUCCACUUGACUGUGCAUCAAUUUCGUAGAUUUGCACUUUGACCUACAAAAAAAUACGAAUUUUAGGCUUUUCGGGCAUUCUAAGAUGUACAUAUGACAAAAAUAAAAAGAUAUAAGAGAACCUUUUAGAAUAUUCAAGAAAACAACUCCAAAGACACCACUAAAGCCGACUCUGAAGCAAAUUUUCAUUAAGAUGGAAGAUUCCUAAUUGACCACUAAAGCCGACUCUAAAGCAGACUUUCAUUAAAAUGGAAGAUUCCUAAUUGAUUUCUUAGGAGAUUAUCAUGAGUUUCUUUAUUCCUUUCAAUUAUACUACCCUUUGGAUGUUUUUAUUUUUAAUCAUGAACUAAUUUUCUAAAUACCUAAGAGAGAUAAACCCUAUGAUAGAUUGUGACACCCCAAAGCUGACCUGGACAACCGACCCAAAUUCGAAACAUUACAUUAGCCAUCUAAGUGACUUUCUAGCUAACGACCAGCCAAGACACACCCUAACCUUAUUGUACAAGCCCAAUUUUGACCAAGACCAAACCAAAUAAAUUAACAGUCCAUAAGAGUCCAAAUUACAACUAGCCUGAUAUGGCCCAAAUAAAAAACAACAACCCAAGCCCAAACCCAACCCUCGUAGCCCAAAGCCCACAAACUAAAAAAUUUCAGCAGAAAAAAGAAAGUUGCUAACCCUACGCGCCAUGCCUGGGUCCUCUGCCACUGACCGCAUGCCUCUGCCACCGUAUCUCACAGCCUCUGCCACGCCUCUGCUGCCUACAAGAAACCAACAAAGCACAAAAUGACAACAGCAAUAGAGGUCAAAUCGAAAAACAACAAAAAAUAGAUUACGAAUCAUUUAGAUUGGCUAUAAAGGCCGAAAUAUUAACCUUGUAAUGCUUCUUCUUUUUUUUUGACGAACAUUAGAAAAAUAAAAAACAGAAAACAAGUUUAGAAGGUAGAUUUUUUUCAUUUUCAAAUUUGCAUUUCUUUUCCCUGUGUAUUUUCUUUUCUUCUAUUUUUUUUUACAUGCAACUAGUAAGAACAAAGAAAGAGAAAGAAAAACCUCGCCUGGAAUAGCCCCUCAAGUCCGGUCGUCGAAGGCCCUUUUCCUGUUGUCAAAAUCGAACCUAAAAAGGGGGCUAGGGUGCCCUCUCCUGGUCUUUUAGGGCAACAUCGGCCACCAGUCAGGUGGCACUACGGCGGCGCUCACGGCCAAAACCGUAGGCCGAGCGGGGUGGGGGUUUGAGAGAGGGAGCUCUCUGAAAUUUUUUUAAACAAAUGGGAUGAAACUGAUUUUCUUUGGGUUUUUUUUUAUUUCAUACUAAGUAUGAAAC